This 253-nucleotide ribosomal RNA is filed under the name uncultured bacterium. RNAcentral's name for it is "partial 16S ribosomal RNA". It matches the Rfam family "Bacterial small subunit ribosomal RNA", at positions 524 to 776 of the family's 1533-position model. The record is from RNAcentral.
UACGUAGGUGGCAAGCGUUAUCCGGAUUUAUUGGGCGUAAAGGGAACGCAGGCGGUCUUUUAAGUCUGAUGUGAAAGCCUUCGGCUUAACCGGAGUAGUGCAUUGGAAACUGGGAGACUUGAGUGCAGAAGAGGAGAGUGGAACUCCAUGUGUAGCGGUGAAAUGCGUAGAUGUAUGGAAGAACACCAGUGGCGAAAGCGGCACUCUGGUCUGUAACUGACGCUGAGGUUCGAAAGCGUGGGUAGCAAACAGG